UACAGAGGUCUCAAGCGUUGUUCGGAUUCAUUGGGCGUAAAGGGUGCGUAGGCGGCGCGGUAAGUCGGGUGUGAAAUCUCGGGGCUUAACUCCGAAACUGCAUUCGAUACUGCCGUGCUUGAGGACUGGAGAGGAGACUGGAAUUUACGGUGUAGCGGUGAAAUGCGUAGAUAUCGAGAGGAACACCUGCGGCGAAGGCGGGUUGCUGGGCUGACACUGACGCUGAGACGCGAAAGCGUGGGGAGCAAACAGG
This 253-nucleotide ribosomal RNA is filed under the name uncultured bacterium. Its description in RNAcentral is "partial 16S ribosomal RNA". It matches the Rfam family "Bacterial small subunit ribosomal RNA", at positions 524 to 776 of the family's 1533-position model. The record is from RNAcentral.